Molecule: non-coding RNA, 831 nt
Organism: Xyrichtys novacula (pearly razorfish)
Lineage: Eukaryota; Metazoa; Chordata; Actinopteri; Labriformes; Labridae
Source: the annotation of a GenBank genome assembly
ACACUGAGCCAGAUUAUUCUGCAUGUGGGAAGUGAGGAACAGAGUUGCUCCUAACAAGACGACAUGAUGGUUUCUUCAAAUCUGGGGUAUUGUCUUCAUCUCUGCAUGACUCACUUGGCAAUUACAGGUGGUUUGAGUGUGUUAAAGGAACAUUUUUGGCUCUGAAAACAAAAAAAAAGGCAAAUUAGAUGAGAGCAUUUUACUUCUGUGAGCUACUCAAGUCUAUAACACAUGCAAAGGGAGAGAGGUUUGUGCAAAAUGUUUAGGUAAAGAUGUCUGAUUUGUGGUACAUUUAACUCCCUCGGCUCCUUCACAUUGAACAAAAACUACCAUGCAAGAUGUUUUUUGGACAAACCUUUUAUUCACUAAAAAUCUUUCCACCUAUCUAUGUGUCUUUAGUAGGAAAGAUGUAAAGCUUUAAGGCUUCUGCCCCUCAGGUAGAUCACCACCCUUAAAAUACUUUGAUGAGUUAAGGACAGAUCUUUUUGUUGACUAAUCUUCUGUUUAGCUUUAAAGUGUAGAUUAAAUCUAAUGGUGCUGUCAAUAAUUAAGAGAAGUCAAAAUAUGAAAUGACAACCAGAGAAUAACAGGGAAGAUUGUAACAUUAGUAAGUGAAUCUGGUUUAAGAUCAUCUCACAGUGCAACCCAUUAAUGCAUUCAUAAAGGUGGUGUUUUCCAGUAUUUACACAUAUUAAUGCAUUUAUAGAGGUGGUGUUUUACAGUAUAUCCACAUAUUAAUGCAUUCAUAGAGGUGGUGGUUAACAGUAUUUACACCUAUUAAUGCAUUCAUAGAGGUGGUGUUUUGCUCAGAGCAGACUCCACAACAGAAAC